This 433-nucleotide ribosomal RNA is filed under the name uncultured bacterium. RNAcentral's name for it is "partial 16S ribosomal RNA". It matches the Rfam family "Bacterial small subunit ribosomal RNA", at positions 29 to 507 of the family's 1533-position model. The record is from RNAcentral.
AACGAACGCUGGCGGCAUGCCUAACACAUGCAAGUCGAACGAGACCUUCGGGUCUAGUGGCGCACGGGUGCGUAACGCGUGGGAACCUGCCCUUAGGUUCGGAAUAACUCCCCGAAAGGGGUGCUAAUACCGGAUAAUGUCUUCGGACCAAAGUUUUAUCGCCUUUGGAUGGGCCCGCGUUGGAUUAGCUAGUUGGUAGGGUAAAAGCCUACCAAGGCGACGAUCCAUAGCUAGUCUGAGAGGAUGAUCAGCCACACUGGGACUGAGACACGGCCCAGACUCCUACGGGAGGCAGCAGUGGGGAAUAUUGGACAAUGGGCGAAAGCCUGAUCCAGCAAUGCCGCGUGAGUGAUGAAGGCCUUAGGGUUGUAAAGCUCUUUUACCCGGGAUGAUAAUGACAGUACCGGGAGAAUAAGCUCCGGCUAACUCCGUG